RNAcentral lists this ribosomal RNA (459 nucleotides) under uncultured Anoxybacillus sp. RNAcentral describes it as "bacterial SSU rRNA". It matches the Rfam family "Bacterial small subunit ribosomal RNA", at positions 923 to 1382 of the family's 1533-position model. Lineage: Bacteria; Bacillati; Bacillota; Bacilli; Caryophanales; Anoxybacillaceae. The record is from RNAcentral.
GCACAAGCAGCGGAGCAUGUGGUUUAAUUCGAAGCAACGCGAAGAACCUUACCAGGGCUUGACAUCCCUCUGACCGGACCGUAAUGGGUCCUUCCCUUCGGGGCAGAGGAGACAGGUGGUGCAUGGUUGUCGUCAGCUCGUGUCGUGAGAUGUUGGGUUAAGUCCCGCAACGAGCGCAACCCUUGUCAUUAGUUGCCAGCAGUUCGGCUGGGCACUCUAGCGAGACUGCCGGUAAUAAACCGGAGGAAGGUGGGGAUGACGUCAAAUCAUCAUGCCCCUUAUGACCUGGGCUACACACGUGCUACAAUGGGCGGUACAAAGGGUCGCGAACCCGCGAGGGGGAGCCAAUCCCAAAAAGCCGCUCUCAGUUCGGAUUGCAGGCUGCAACUCGCCUGCAUGAAGCCGGAAUCGCUAGUAAUCGCGGAUCAGCAUGCCGCGGUGAAUACGUUCCCGGGCCUU